UUUCCGUAGGUGAACCUGCGGAAGGAUCAUUCAUAAUAAAGUGUUUUAUGCCACUUUUUAAAAACCCAUAUCCACCUUGUGUGCAAUGUUAGAUCUCGUCAAUCUUGGCGAGAUUUUUAUACAUCAACUCAUUCUUUAACUAAUUUGUCUGAAAAAUAUUAUGAAUACUUAAUUCAAAAUACAACUUUCAACAACGGAUCUCUUGGCUCUC
Molecule: unclassified non-coding RNA, 211 nt
Filed under: plant metagenome
Description: partial contains small subunit ribosomal RNA, internal transcribed spacer 1, and 5.8S ribosomal RNA
Source: RNAcentral